UACAGAGGGGGCAAGCGUUGUUCGGAAUUACUGGGCGUAAAGGGCGAGUAGGCGGCCGCCUAAGUCAGACGUGAAAUCCCUCGGCUCAACCGGGGAACUGCGUCUGAUACUGGGUGGCUUGAAUCCGGGAGAGGGAUGCGGAAUUCCAGGUGUAGCGGUGAAAUGCGUAGAUAUCAGGAGGAACACCGGUGGCGAAGGCGGUUCUCUGGGCCUUACCUGACGCUGAGGAGCGAAAGCGUGGGGAGCAAACAGG
This 253-nucleotide ribosomal RNA is filed under the name uncultured bacterium. RNAcentral describes it as "partial 16S ribosomal RNA". It matches the Rfam family "Bacterial small subunit ribosomal RNA", at positions 524 to 776 of the family's 1533-position model. The record is from RNAcentral.